UGGCAAGAGGGCAGCAGCUUGGAGCAGAGAUGUUGUUGGUCAGCACCAAGAAGGAGCUUUUCCUCCUGGAGCUGUCCUGUGCUUGGGGAACUCUCCCUGCCAGGAUUUUCCACGGCAUGACUGCCACAUCAGCUCAGCAUAAGCACCAGAGUGAGGAGCAAGCUCCCUUCCACUCCAAAAGGAGAAAGAAAAAGAAAGGAAGAGAGUCUCAGUUCCCUCAUCCCUGCUCCAGUGCUGUGUGUGAGCUGUGGUUGUUGAGCUGAGGCUUCACUUGGAGUUAUAAUGAUCCAAUCCAUCUCAGGAGGCUCCAAAUGUGUAUUAAUUAAUGCAAUGAUUGGGUGAUUUGGCCAUCAGUGCAGCUGUCUUUCAGCAGGAGAAAGAAAACCAUCUUCCUUCUCGCCGCCUCCCCGACGGCUCGGCGCAGAACACGAUGUAAGAGCAGGGUGAGUCACAGCCAAGGAUUUGUAUUCACCAUCGCUCCAGAUCACAUCAGCUUUGCCUAAUGCCUUGGCAAUAAAGUGCCUCUUCAUUGUA
Pogoniulus pusillus (Red-fronted tinkerbird) is the source of this 534-nucleotide long non-coding RNA. RefSeq lists it as uncharacterized. The record is from RefSeq and is a predicted model, not a curated record. NCBI's taxonomy places the organism in Eukaryota, Metazoa, Chordata, Aves, Piciformes, Lybiidae. The transcript has 4 exons.